Melospiza melodia melodia is the source of this 159-nucleotide long non-coding RNA. RefSeq lists it as uncharacterized. Lineage: Eukaryota; Metazoa; Chordata; Aves; Passeriformes; Passerellidae. The record is from RefSeq and is a predicted model, not a curated record. The transcript has 3 exons.
GCUGUCCACAAAGGGAGGGCUCAGAGCUCCAGACAGUGGGGCUGCCUUUUGUAUCUCCUAGAAGGACUUUUGGAGAUGUUUGUAAAGCACUUGACACUGCCACAGGAGGAGAGGUGGCCAUCAAGAAAAUACAGCUUCAAGGACUGAGGAAGAAGGAAC